GAAUAAACAAGUGCAGGUUGUGCUGGCCUUCUUGGUAUGUGCACGCCUGCCAACGUUUCAUUCUAUCUUCCCACCUGUGCACUCUGUGUAGAUUCUGUAUGCUAUUGUCAGGCCUUCAUUGAGCUUGGUUGAGAGGAGUUGCUUGUUUUCACAGACAAGCUCUUCUUGGGCAUGCAGAUCUAUGUUUUAUAUCAACACCAUAUGAAUGUUAUAGAAUGUGCUUUGGGCUUUUUGGCCUUUAAAUUAUAUACAACUUUCAACAACGGAUCUCUUGGCUCU
This 279-nucleotide unclassified non-coding RNA is filed under the name rhizosphere metagenome. RNAcentral describes it as "partial ribosomal RNA internal transcribed spacer region". The record is from RNAcentral.